RNAcentral lists this ribosomal RNA (847 nucleotides) under uncultured Bacillota bacterium. Its description in RNAcentral is "bacterial SSU rRNA". It matches the Rfam family "Bacterial small subunit ribosomal RNA", at positions 58 to 936 of the family's 1533-position model. The record is from RNAcentral. Lineage: Bacteria; Bacillati; Bacillota.
CAAGUCGAACGAGAAAGCCGGGGCAACCUGGUGAGUACAGUGGCGUACGGGUGAGUAACACGUGGGUAAUCUACCUCCUUGUGGGGAAUAACGCUGGGAAACCGGCGCUAAUACCGCAUAAGCUCGAGAGAGGAAAGCAGCAAUGCGCAGGGAGAGGAGCCCGCGGCCGAUUAGCUAGUUGGCAGGGUAAAAGCCUACCAAGGCAGAGAUCGGUAGCCGGCCUGAGAGGGCACAUGGCCACACUGGCACUGAAACACGGGCCAGACUCCUACGGGAGGCAGCAGUGGGGAAUCUUGCACAAUGGGGGAAACCCUGAUGCUGCGACGCCGCGUGAGCGAUGAAGCCCUUCGGGGUGUAAAGCUCUUUCGGCAGGGAAGAUGAUGACGGUACCUGCAGAAGCAGCUGCGGCUAACUACGUGCCAGCAGCCGCGGUAAUACGUAGGCAGCAAGCGUUGUUCGGAGUUACUGGGCGUAAAGGGUGUGUAGGCGGUUGCUUAAGUUUGGUGUGAAAUCUCCCGGCUCAACUGGGAGGGUGCGCCGAAUACUGAGUGACUAGAGUGCGGGAGAGGAAAGUGGAAUUCCUGGUGUAGCGGUGAAAUGCGUAGAUAUCAGGAGGAACAUCGGUGGUGUAGACGGCUUUCUGGACCGUAACUGACGCUGAGACACGAAAGCGUGGGUAGCAAACAGGAUUAGAUACCCUGGUAGUCCACGCCCUAAACGAUGCAUAUUUGGUGUGGGUCAUUCAGUUGAUCCGUGCCGGAGCUAACGCGUUAAAUAUGCCGCCUGGGGAGUACAGUCGCAAGGCUGAAACUCAAAGGAAUUGACGGGGGCCCGCACAAGCGGUGGA